Molecule: ribosomal RNA, 760 nt
Filed under: uncultured bacterium
Lineage: Bacteria
Description: bacterial SSU rRNA
Rfam family: Bacterial small subunit ribosomal RNA
Source: RNAcentral
GAUGAACGCUAGCUACAGGCUUAACACAUGCAAGUCGAGGGGCAGCGGGAUUGAAGCUUGCUUCAAUUGCCGGCGACCGGCGCACGGGUGAGUAACGCGUAUCCAACCUUCCGCUUACUCGGGGAUAGCCUUUCGAAAGAAAGAUUAAUACCCGAUGGUAUCUUAAGCACGCAUGAGAUUAAGAUUAAAGAUUUAUCGGUAAGCGAUGGGGAUGCGUUCCAUUAGGCAGUUGGCGGGGUAACGGCCCACCAAACCUACGAUGGAUAGGGGUUCUGAGAGGAAGGUCCCCCACAUUGGAACUGAGACACGGUCCAAACUCCUACGGGAGGCAGCAGUGAGGAAUAUUGGUCAAUGGGCGAGAGCCUGAACCAGCCAAGUAGCGUGAAGGAUGACGGCCCUACGGGUUGUAAACUUCUUUUGUGCGGGAAUAAAGGAGCCUACGUGUAGGCUUUUGCAUGUACCGUAACGAAUAAGCAUCGGCUAACUCCGUGCCAGCAGCCGCGGUAAUACGGAGGAUGCGAGCGUUAUCCGGAUUUAUUGGGUUUAAAGGGAGCGUAGACGGGUUUUUAAGUCAGCUGUGAAAGUUUGGGGCUUAACCUUAAAAUUGCAGUUGAAACUGGAGACCUUGAGUACGGUUGAGGCAGGCGGAAUUCGUGGUGUAGCGGUGAAAUGCUUAGAUAUCACGAAGAACCCCGAUUGCGAAGGCAGCCUGCUAAGCCGCCACUGACGUUGAGGCUCGAAAGUGCGGGUAUCAAACAGG